This 475-nucleotide ribosomal RNA is filed under the name uncultured bacterium. Its description in RNAcentral is "SSU rRNA". It matches the Rfam family "Bacterial small subunit ribosomal RNA", at positions 26 to 518 of the family's 1533-position model. The record is from RNAcentral.
AGGACGAACGCUGGCGGCGCGCCUAAAACAUGCAAGUCGAACGAGAAGCCCGGGCUUGCCCGGGUGGACAGUGGCGAACGGGUGAGUAACACGUGAGGAACCUGCCCCGAAGACCGGGACAACACCGGGAAACCGGUGCUAAUACCGGAUACCUUCACCGGAUCGCAUGGUCUGGUGAAGAAAUGGAUUCCGCUUCGGGAUGGCCUCGCGGCCUAUCAGCUUGUUGGUGAGGUAACGGCUCACCAAGGCAACGACGGGUAGCUGGUCUGAGAGGAUGUCCAGCCACACUGGGACUGAGACACGGCCCAGACUCCUACGGGAGGCAGCAGUUAGGAAUCUUGCGCAAUGGACGAAAGUCUGACGCAGCGACGCCGCGUGCGGGAUGAAGGCCUUCGGGUUGUAAACCGCUUUCAGCAGGGACGAAAUUGACGGUACCUGCAGAAGAAGCCCCGGCCAACUACGCGCCAGCAGCCGC